RNAcentral lists this ribosomal RNA (769 nucleotides) under uncultured bacterium. Its description in RNAcentral is "bacterial SSU rRNA". It matches the Rfam family "Bacterial small subunit ribosomal RNA", at positions 389 to 1174 of the family's 1533-position model. The record is from RNAcentral.
CAGCGACGCCGCGUGAGGGAUGAANNNCNUCGGAUUGUAANNNNCUUUCAGUAGGGAAGAAGCGAAAGUGACGGUACCUAAAGAAGAAGCACCGGCUAACUAUGUGCCAGCAGCCGCGGUAAUACAUAGGGUGCAAGCGUUGUCCGGAAUUAUUGGGCGUAAAGAGCUCGUAGGUCGUUUGUCGCGUCGAUUGUGAAAAUCUGAGGCUCAACCUCAGACCUGCAGUCGAUACGGGCAAACUAGAGUGUGGUAGGGGAGACUGGAAUUCCUGGUGUAGCGGUGGAAUGCGCAGAUAUCAGGAGGAACACCAAUGGCGAAGGCAGGUCUCUGGGCCAUAACUGACACUGAGGAGCGAAAGUGCGGGGAGCGAACAGGAUUAGAUACCCUGGUAGUCCGCACCGUAAACGGUGGGCACUAGUUGUGGGAACCUUCCACGGUUUCCGCGACGCAGCAAACGCAUUAAGUGCCCCGCCUGGGGAGUACGAUCGCAAGAUUAAAACUCAAAGGAAUUGACGGGGCCCCGCACAAGCAGCGGAGCAUGCGGCUUAAUUCGACGCAACGCGAAGAACCUUACCAAGGCUUGACAUAUAGCGAAAAGUGGCAGAGAUGUCAUGUCCGCAAGGGCGCUAUACAGGUGGUGCAUGGUUGUCGUCAGCUCGUGUCGUGAGAUGUUGGGUUAAGUCCCGCAACGAGCGCAACCCUCGUUCUGUGUUACCAGCAUUUAGUUGGGGACUCACAGGAGACUGCCGGGGUCAACUCGGAGGAAGGU